This 392-nucleotide ribosomal RNA is filed under the name uncultured bacterium. RNAcentral's name for it is "bacterial SSU rRNA". It matches the Rfam family "Bacterial small subunit ribosomal RNA", at positions 29 to 424 of the family's 1533-position model. The record is from RNAcentral.
AUUGAACGCUGGCGGCAUGCCUUACACAUGCAAGUCGAACGGUAACGCGGGGCAACCUGGCGACGAGUGGCGAACGGGUGAGUAAAGUAUCGGAACGUGCCCAAUAGUUGGGGAUAGCCCGGCGAAAGCCGGAUUAAUACCGCAUGAGACCUGAGGGUGAAAGCGGGGGACUCGCAAGAGCCUCGCGCUGUUGGAGCGGCCGAUAUCAGAUUAGGUAGUUGGUGGGGUAAAGGCCUACCAAGCCGACGAUCUGUAGCUGGUCUGAGAGGACGACCAGCCACACUGGGACUGAGACACGGCCCAGACUCCUACGGGAGGCAGCAGUGGGGAAUAUUGCACAAUGGGCGCAAGCCUGAUGCAGCAACGCCGCGUGAGGGAUGACGGCCUCGGUU